Molecule: ribosomal RNA, 497 nt
Filed under: uncultured bacterium
Lineage: Bacteria
Description: partial 16S ribosomal RNA
Rfam family: Bacterial small subunit ribosomal RNA
Source: RNAcentral
GAUGAACGCUGGCGGCGUGCCUAAUACAUGCAAGUCGAGCGAACGGACGAGAAGCUUGCUUCUCUGAUGUUAGCGGCGGACGGGUGAGUAACACGUGGAUAACCUACCUAUAAGACUGGGAUAACUUCGGGAAACCGGAGCUAAUACCGGAUAAUAUUUUGAACCGCAUGGUUCAAAAGUGAAAGACGGUCUUGCUGUCACUUAUAGAUGGAUCCGCGCUGCAUUAGCUAGUUGGUAAGGUAACGGCUUACCAAGGCAACGAUGCAUAUCCGACCUGAGAGGGGGGUCGGCCACACUGGAACUGAGACGCGGUCCAGACUCCUACGGGAGGCACCAGUAGGGAAUGUUACGCAAUGGGCGAAAGCCUGACGGAGCAACGCCGCGUGAGUGAUGAAGGUCUUCGGAUCGUAAAACUCUGUUAUUAGGGAAAAACAUAUGUGUAAGUAACUGUACACAUCUUGACGGUACCUAAUCAGAAAGCCACGGCUAACUACGUG